This 385-nucleotide ribosomal RNA is filed under the name Panulirus regius. RNAcentral's name for it is "eukaryotic LSU rRNA". It matches the Rfam family "Eukaryotic large subunit ribosomal RNA", at positions 1163 to 1511 of the family's 3401-position model. Lineage: Eukaryota; Metazoa; Arthropoda; Malacostraca; Decapoda; Palinuridae. The record is from RNAcentral.
GUGAACCAAACGUCGAGUUAAGGGGCCUAAAUGAAUGCCUUUUUUGAUCCCAUCAAAAGGUGUUGGUUGCUAUAGACAGCAGGACGGUGGCCAUGGAAGUUGGAAUCCGCUAAGGAGUGUGUAACAACUCACCUGCCGAAGCAACUAGCCCUUAAAAUGGUAUGGCGCCCGAGCAUUCUCCCGAUACUCGACCGCCGGGGCACUAACGGUCUGUCUGACAUGCUGCAGCAGGCCUCGAAGCCCCGGUGAGUAGGAGGGUCGCGGUGGUGUGCGUUGAAGGGUACGGCGUGGGCCGGCCUGGAGCCGCCACUGGUGCAGAUCUUGGUGGUAGUAGCAAAUAAUCGAGAGAGACUCUCCUCGAAGGCCGAGGCGGAGAAGGGUUCCA